AGACUGGGAUAACUCCGGGAAACCGGGGCUAAUACCGGAUGGUUGUUUGAACCGCAUGGUUCAGACAUAAAAGGUGGCUUCGGCUACCACUUACAGAUGGACCCGCGGCGCAUUAGCUAGUUGGUGAGGUAACGGCUCACCAAGGCAACGAUGCGUAGCCGACCUGAGAGGGUGAUCGGCCACACUGGGACUGAGACACGGCCCAGACUCCUACGGGAGGCAGCAGUAGGGAAUCUUCCGCAAUGGACGAAAGUCUGACGGAGCAACGCCGCGUGAGUGAUGAAGGUUUUCGGAUCGUAAAGCUCUGUUGUUAGGGAAGAACAAGUGCCGUUCAAAUAGGGCGGCACCUUGACGGUACCUAACCAGAAAGCCACGGCUAACUACGUGCCAGCAGCCGCGGUAAUACGUAGGUGGCAAGCGUUGUCCGGAAUUAUUGGGCGUAAAGGGCUCGCAGGCGGUUUCUUAAGUCUGAUGUGAAAGCCCCCGGCUCAACCGGGGAGGGUCAUUGGAAACUGGGGAACUUGAGUGCAGAAGAGGAGAGUGGAAUUCCACGUGUAGCGGUGAAAUGCGUAGAGAUGUGGAGGAACACCAGUGGCGAAGGCGACUCUCUGGUCUGUAACUGACGCUGAGGAGCGAAAGCGUGGGGAGCGAACAGGAUUAGAUACCCUGGUAGUCCACGCCGUAAACGAUGAGUGCUAAGUGUUAGGGGGUUU
This 713-nucleotide ribosomal RNA is filed under the name Bacillus amyloliquefaciens. RNAcentral's name for it is "bacterial SSU rRNA". It matches the Rfam family "Bacterial small subunit ribosomal RNA", at positions 135 to 833 of the family's 1533-position model. The record is from RNAcentral. Lineage: Bacteria; Bacillati; Bacillota; Bacilli; Caryophanales; Bacillaceae.